This 376-nucleotide ribosomal RNA is filed under the name uncultured bacterium. RNAcentral describes it as "bacterial SSU rRNA". It matches the Rfam family "Bacterial small subunit ribosomal RNA", at positions 524 to 898 of the family's 1533-position model. The record is from RNAcentral.
UACGAAGGGUGCAAGCGUUAAUCGGAAUUACUGGGCGUAAAGCGUGCGUAGGUGGUUUGUUAAGUCAGAUGUGAAAGCCCUGGGCUCAACCUGGGAACUGCAUUUGAUACUGGCAGGCUAGAGUGCGGUAGAGGGUGGUGGAAUUCCCGGUGUAGCGGUGAAAUGCGUAGAGAUCGGGAGGAACAUUCGUGGCGAAGGCGGCCACCUGGACCAGCACUGACACUGAGGCACGAAAGCGUGGGGAGCAAACAGGAUUAGAUACCCUGGUAGUCCACGCCCUAAACGAUGCGAACUGGACGUUGGUCUCAACUUGGAGAUCAGUGUCGAAGCUAACGCGUUAAGUUCGCCGCCUGGGGAGUACGGUCGCAAGACUGAA